UACGUAGGUGGCAAGCGUUGUCCGGAUUUACUGGGCGUAAAGAGCGCGCAGGCGGUCGUUCAAGUCGCGUGUGAAAGCCCCCGGCUCAACUGGGGAGGGUCACGCGAUACUGAUCGACUCGAAGGCAGGAGAGGGAAGUGGAAUUCCCGGUGUAGUGGUGAAAUGCGUAGAUAUCGGGAGGAACACCGAUGGCGAAGGCAGUUCUCUGGGCCGUAACUGACGCUGAGGAGCGAAAGCGCGGGGAGCGAACAGG
Molecule: ribosomal RNA, 253 nt
Filed under: uncultured bacterium
Lineage: Bacteria
Description: partial 16S ribosomal RNA
Rfam family: Bacterial small subunit ribosomal RNA
Source: RNAcentral